Molecule: ribosomal RNA, 470 nt
Filed under: uncultured bacterium
Lineage: Bacteria
Description: bacterial SSU rRNA
Rfam family: Bacterial small subunit ribosomal RNA
Source: RNAcentral
ACUCCUACGGGAGGCAGCAGUGGGGAAUAUUGCACAAUGGGCGCAAGCCUGAUGCAGCCAUGCCGCGUGUAUGAAGAAGGCCUUCGGGUUGUAAAGUACUUUCAGCAGUGAGGAAGGUGGAUAUGUUAAUAGCAUAUUCAUUUGACGUUAGCUGCAGAAGAAGCACCGGCUAACUCCGUGCCAGCAGCCGCGGUAAUACGGAGGGUGCGAGCGUUAAUCGGAAUUACUGGGCGUAAAGCGCAUGCAGGUGGUUUGUUAAGUCAGAUGUGAAAGCCCGGGGCUCAACCUCGGAAUUGCAUUUGAAACUGGCAAACUGAGUACUGUAGAGGGGGGUAGAAUUUCAGGUGUAGCGGUGAAAUGUGUAGAGAUCUGAAGGAUACCGGUGGCGAAGGCGGCCCCCUGGACAGAUACUGACACUCAGAUGCGAAAGCGUGGGGAGCAAACAGGAUUAGAUACCCUGGUAGCUCUGC